Molecule: ribosomal RNA, 279 nt
Filed under: uncultured bacterium
Lineage: Bacteria
Description: partial 16S ribosomal RNA
Rfam family: Bacterial small subunit ribosomal RNA
Source: RNAcentral
UGCCAGCCGCCGCGGUAAUACGGAGGGGGCUAGCGUUGUUCGGAAUCACUGGGCGUAAAGCGCACGUAGGCGGACCAGUCAGUCAGAGGUGAAAUCCCAAGGCUCAACCUUGGAACUGCCUUUGAUACUGCUGGUCUUGAGGUCGAGAGAGGUAAGUGGAAUUCCUAGUGUAGAGGUGAAAUUCGUAGAUAUUAGGAAGAACACCAGUGGCGAAGGCGACUUACUGGCUCGAUUCUGACGCUGAGGUGCGAAAGCGUGGGGAGCAAACAGGAUUAUCUA